RNAcentral lists this long non-coding RNA (1167 nucleotides) under Homo sapiens (human). Its description in RNAcentral is "non-protein coding lnc-TENM3-3:1". Lineage: Eukaryota; Metazoa; Chordata; Mammalia; Primates; Hominidae. The record is from RNAcentral.
AGAGAGCCACCGGGGCCCGCUCGCGCGCCUCUGAGAGGCUGUCCGCGCGCGCGCGUGUGUGCGUGAGUGUGGAUUUGCCGGGACUGGAGCUGGAAAGUUCAAACUAAACGUGUUGCUCUCGCCGAGUGCCGAGGCCGCGGCGGAGGCUGCCCAACUUCCCCGGGCCAAGUGAGUGGCGUUGCCCAGCGCCUUUGGCGAGGCGGCGGCCGCUCGGCCCUGCGCCCGGCCGCGGCGGCGGCGGCUCCGCUCGCCCCGGGAGGGAGCCCGCGGCCAGGGCUGGACUCUCGCCCCGCCACCUCCACCGACUCUCUCCUCAGCCUCCGCGCCUGGCACCGCAGCAAGACUUGAAUGAAGUGAUCAUGUAAACUAGAGAAAGGAGAUUAAAAAUAACCUCUGGAUAUUCCUCUCAUGUGAUCUUUAUUCUGGAUGAAGCAUUAGGACAGCUAAUAGCCGUGUGUCACUGUUACAAUGUCUUUGAUCCUGUGAAUGGCAAGGAAACAUACAACCUCAGGGGGAAAUUCAGACAGAGAAGAUGCAUACAAUUGAUUUAAUUCAGAUCUUGUUUUUAAUAUGUAUUCACCAUUGGACAAUGCAUGGUUUCUUUAAAUUUAAUUCAGUUGGAACCUGACGGAUGACUUCGGCCUGCUGGCAUGCUCUUUUCGUUUUACCGUUCCGUGCGUGCUCCAUUCCCCAUAGCCAUCAUCUUGAUUUUGUGUUUAUCAAUCCAUUGCUUUUUUAUAAUUUUCCUGGAUAUACAUAUUUAUCUAAAAAAUAUAACGUUUACAUUUGCUUAUUUUGAAAUUUAUUAGAAAAUAUUAUUCUGCAUGUAAACUUUAGAGUCAUUUUUUUGCCCAAUAUUUCGUUCCUCAUAUUUAAUCAUAUUAUUACAGAUAGCUGUAAUUGUUAUUGUUUAACACUUCGCUGUGGGAAAAUGAAACAGUCUAUCUAUUCUCCUGUCCAUGGCGUAUGAUUCCUUCUUGAUAUUAUGAUCAGUGCUGGUUUGAAUAUUUUUAUGUCUUCUAGUGUGUAUGUAAUCAACUAUAUAAUCCUGGAAAAUAAUAAAAUGUUUUAAACUGGUCAUUUUUCUCAUACAUCAACUUCAUUUUGGCUUUGCUCAGAAUGAAUUUCUUAGAAAAAAUAGUUAUAAUUAUUAAGAAAACAUUAGAA